RNAcentral lists this ribosomal RNA (468 nucleotides) under uncultured bacterium. RNAcentral's name for it is "partial 16S ribosomal RNA". It matches the Rfam family "Bacterial small subunit ribosomal RNA", at positions 28 to 507 of the family's 1533-position model. The record is from RNAcentral.
GACGAACGCUGGCGGCGUGCUUAACACAUGCAAGUCGAACGGAAAGGCCCCGCUUUUGUGGGGUGCUCGAGUGGCGAACGGGUGAGUAACACGUGAGUAACCUGCCCUUGACUUUGGGAUAACUUCAGGAAACUGGGGCUAAUACCGGAUAGGAGCUCCUGCUGCAUGGUGGGGGUUGGAAAGUUUCGGCGGUUGGGGAUGGACUCGCGGCUUAUCAGCUUGUUGGUGGGGUAGUGGCUUACCAAGGCUUUGACGGGUAGCCGGCCUGGGAGGGUGUCCGGCCACCUUGGGACUGAGAGACGGCCCAGACUCCUACGGGAGGCAGCAGUGGGGAAUAUUGCACAAUGGGCGGAAGCCUGAUGCAGCAACGCCGCGUGCGGGAUGACGGCCUUCGGGUUGUAAACCGCUUUCGCCUGUGACGAAGCGUGAGUGACGGUAAUGGGUAAAGAAGCACCGGCUAACUACGUG